Molecule: transfer RNA, 67 nt
Filed under: Aconurella diplachnis
Lineage: Eukaryota; Metazoa; Arthropoda; Insecta; Hemiptera; Cicadellidae
Description: tRNA-Val
Source: RNAcentral
CAGGUUAUAGCUUAUUUAACAAAGCUUAUUAUUUACAUUAAUAGGAAAAUUUAUUGAUUUGAUCUGA